This 4888-nucleotide long non-coding RNA is filed under the name Sus scrofa (pig). Its description in RNAcentral is "lncRNA (ENSSSCG00015025403.1)". The record is from RNAcentral. Lineage: Eukaryota; Metazoa; Chordata; Mammalia; Artiodactyla; Suidae.
GCUGUACGUCAUUACACCCCCCACCCCCAGAAGGUCUUAGCAAGCAGGGCUCCCCUCUUUAGAACAUCACUCUCUGAAGGAGGCAGCAGUGCUGAGGGGCAGUGCAGUGUCUUACAAAGGCAGGAAAGGCUUGAGGACCAAUGCUGUAAACACAUGGAAAUUAACGAAUGAAUAUCUCUUCUUCCCUGCUGGGUGCCAGCUCCCUUCCAAAUUCUUUAUUUGUAUCAUUUAUGUUCUAUCAAAGUAUCCUUUCUAGAAAUACACUAGACAACAGUGGUACAAUGUGUUUUAAGGCUUUUAAAGGGUGUAUCUUAACAAAGCCAGGUAUGAAGUAUUCCAGUAUUUUCCCUGUGUUGGUUUCAGAGCAAGGAACCAGUGGAGAUUUCACCGCUUUCAGGUGGAGCUGGCCUCUGAGGAGCGGUGACUAUGUGAUGGGUAAGUAUCUUAGUUAAUGUGGUUUUAUUCCUCCGGGGGUAGGAUUAUGCGGUCAUUUCAAAACUCACUGAGAACAUUCUCUGGGGCUUCAUCUGGUGGUUCUAGUGUUCUAUCUUGCACACUAAUUACAUUUUUGGAUUUAAAAUGCUCCUCUUUCGAGCAUUUGCCAGCAGCUGUUGAGGUUCAUGAUGGGUGGUGAGUUAUAACGGUUCUGAGGCCCUCUGGCCUCAUUGUGGCUUCAUCGUCCAGGGCUGGCUCCUGGCCCCCUCGAGGGACCAAGGGGACAUUUUAUGAGUGAGGUUGUGCACCAUGGUGAUAUUAACAUGUUAUGCAUGAAAUGUUGUGUGUCCCCCUCCCCCAAAUCCAUGCCCCAACCCCCAAUGUGAUGGUAUGAGGAGGUGGGGCCUUUGGGAGGGAUCAGGGUUAGAGGAGGUUCUGAGGGUGGGGUCGCCAGAUUAGUGAUGGGAUUAGUGCCCUUAGAAGAGCCGGGAGAGGCACCAGACCUCUCCUCCUUGGGAGCACACGGCACGGCGGCUGUCUGCAGACUCCUGUUAUCCUCACCAAGAAUGGAAUCUGUUGGCACUUGGAUCUGUGCUUCCGGCCUCCAGAACCGUAAGAGAUAAAUGUUAAAUAAUAAGCCACUCAGUCCACGGUAUUUUGUCACAGCAGGCUGAGCUCACGACGACAGCAAGCAUGAGGCUUUUUGUUGUCUUUGCUAUGAAAACUCACAAAGCUUGACUGUUUCUUUUUUUUUUUUUUUUUUUUUUGGUCUUUUUAGGGCCACCCUUGCAGCAUACGGAAGUUCCCAGGCUAGGGGUUGAAUCAGAGCUACAGCUGCCAGCCUACCCCUACACCACAGCCACAGCCACGCCAGGUCCGAGGCAAAUCUUCGACCUACUCCACAGCUCACGGCAAUGCCAGAUCCUUAACCCUCUGAGCGAGGCCAGGGAUCGAACCUGAGUCCUCACUCAUGGGUACUAGUCAGGUGUGUUACCACUGAGACAUAACGGGAACGCCCAAGAUUGACUAUUUCUCUGUUUACCUUUUCUGACCAUUUUUUAAAAAUCGAAGUAUAAUUGCAGUAUCAUGAGAUGGACCGCUCUCAAAUGUCUAGUUGGAUCAGUUUGGACUAUUGUCCACCCAUGCGGCCAUUACCUCUAUCAGUGUCUAGAGCACUGCCACCAUCCCAGCAUGGUCCCCUCUCCUCCUUUCCAGUUUGCUACUGGCCCUCUCUCAUGACCUCGUUGGCAACCACUCUCCGGCUUCCAGCACCAUAGAUUAGUUUUGCCUGUUCUAGAAUUUCAAAUGAAUGGAUUCCUCCAGCAUGUGUCCUUUGGGUCUGUGACUCUGUCACUCAAUGCGAUGUUUUUGAGAUACGUUCACAGCGUUGCAUCCAUCAGUGCCUUACUCCCUUUUAUCGCUGAGUGGUAUUUAAUGUUAUAAAUCGCCACAGUUUAUUCCUCCUCCUGUUGAUGGGCCUUUUGGGGUUGUUAUUGUAAAUAAACCAUUUUGCAUCUAUCUUUCUGCAGACAUGCUCUUAUUUUUCUUGGGGAAGUACCUGGAAAUGAAAUUGCUGCGUCGGAGGAGAUGAGGGCUCAACUUCAAACAAACUGCCAAACAGAUCUCUCCCGCGGUUGUGCCGUUGCCUUCCCUCCUAGCAAUGGAUGGAGUUCCAGUUGCUCUACCUCCUGGCCAACAUUUGUUGCUGUCCGUCUUCGUUAACUUUAGCUGUUCUCGUGGGUGUGAAAUGGCAUCACACCGUAGUUUUAAUUUUCAUUUCUCUGAUGACUCAUACAGUUGAGCAGCUUUUCAUAUGCUUACCAACCUUUCAUAUAUCUUUUUUUUGGUGAAAUGUCUGUUCAGCUCUUUUGGCCCUGCUUAAAUUUAAGUUAUUUGGGUUUUCAUGUCAUUUUGUAGGAGUUUGGCUAUUUAUUUCCGUAAGUGUCUUUUUCCCUGGUUACUGUCUAAAUUCCUGAAGCUAGUUUACCAAAUUUCUCUGCAGUGCUCACCACAAUUCUUUGUCCCAAUAACAGGUACUUAAUAUUUUUUGGAUUGUUGGCAAGGAUUAGGCUCUGCCUGUACAGUGGCACAACCUGUUGAUUUUAUGAAAACAAUUCAGUCAAGUCGACAUGUUUAAUUUUUUUUUUGUCUUUUUAGGGCGGCACUGCAGCAUUUGGGGGUUCCUAGGCUAGGGGUCCAAUCAGAGCUGUAGCUGCUAGCCUACACCACAGCCACAGCAAUGCCAGAUCCUUAACCGACUAAGCAAAGCCAGGGAUCAAACCCUUGUCCUCAUGGAUACCAGUCAGGAUCAUUAACCGCUGAGCCACAGUGGGAACGCUGAUGUAUUUAAUUUUUUGACUGCAUCUUUUACUUUUGAGGUUUUUUUAAAAAAAUUUAUCAUUGAUUUACAAUAUCAUGCUAGUUUCUGGUGUGAUUUAUAUGAUAUAUAUAUUCUCUUCAUAUUAUUUUCCAUUAUGGCUUAUUCAAUGAUAUUGAAUAUAUUCCCUGUGUUAGAGAGUAGGUCCUUGCUGUUUAUCUAUGUUGCAAUUUUCAGAUUUUGAAUUUGACAUUACUCUUCUCUAGUAUCUUGACCUUUGGCAAACAUUCAGUAUACUUAUUUCCAAAUGUUUAAAGCCAAUCUGGCAUCUACUUCUUGAGUUUGGAAACUAUAAUAAACUUUAUAGUUAAAGACUUAGGAAGAGCUGAAGUUUUCAUGAUAGGUGGUCUCUCCCAGAAGUUAAAAUAUUUAUAGUCUUGAAAAAUAGAACAUUAUGUACUAUCAUUGUAUGCUUUUCUCCUCUUCUGAAGUUUGUGAGUCAUUUCUUAACCAAGACCCAGAGCCUAAGGGGCAGAAGGAAAAAAUAUAAAUACUUUUAUUUGAACACAGAGGAGGAGAGUAUCAACAAAGAGGCUAUCUGAAGCUUUUAAAGUCUUGUCUCCCUUCCAGUUUUGUCAGCCAGAACAUUAUAAAUGCCUGUACUACUUUGAAAGAACACCUGCAAUGAUGUCAUCUUCAUCUUCUUAAAUUAGUUUCUAGGCAGCCUGGCCAGCUCGGGAAAGCCGGAGAAAUAUUUCCACUCCCAUCCAUUUGAACUUUGUCCCAGUCUCUUUGCCCUUGGGUAUUAGCUCGUGUUUUAGAGAAGCUCCUCAGACUGAUUUGCAGAAGCACAAUCUUCAUUCUCAAAAAUUAUAAACAAGCCAACAAAUGUAUGAUAUUUCACUGAUUGAUUUUAAACUCAAGUCCAUUCAACACAUCAAGACAUUUUUGGAUCUCAAAAGUCCUAUUUGCUUGUUGUGGAUAAUAUAGCAUAAAUGUAUAAAUGUAUUUCAUUUUCUUUAUCAAAAUGAAAAUGAUCUGAUAAUCCAUCUCCAUAAAAAUAAUUAUUAUUAAAAUCUCUUAGGUUUACUUGGAAUCUUUCUUAUUUUUAUUUUCCUGGAAUUUUAUAUCAUCUCUAUUCUAUAAAAAUGAAUCAUCAUGAAUAUACUCUUAUGGUUUUUUCAGAAUGAUUUUCACACAUCAUUACAGAUUUUUAAUGACUGUGCUUGUCUGUUUUUAAUGUGCUUCUGUCCAUGAUGUUUGUGUUGCAUCUCCAUCAAGCUUCAUUGUUUUCUUCAUGUUGUUAAUAACUCUUUUCCAUCCGUGAGAGUGCAUUUUCUGUUUGCUUCAUGUUGGUAUAUGGAGAAGCUGUUGACUGAGGUACAUUUAUUGCUUUUAAAAUCUGACUCUUUCGCCAAGCUUUCUUUUAAAUUCCAAGUAUUUCGGAGUUGAUUCUCUUAGGCGUGUAGGUUACCUAAUAAUAUCGUUGAUAGAGAAUACAUUUUUGGCCUCCUCUUUUCCAACAAUUAUAGCUCCUAGUUCGCUUUCAGAUCUUAUUACGUGAGUCAGAGCCUCUUAAGCAACAUGAAAUACUAAUGCUUGAAACAGACACGCCUGCCCUGGUUCUGAUUUUAAUUGGAAUAUCUUCAGUGAUUCACUAGCAAGGAAGAUGUUGGCUGUUUGGUUAUAUAAUUAUUAUGGUGUGAAAGAAGAAUCUUUUCAUCUCAGUUUUCCCUAAGGAUUUUUUUAAAAUUUGGGAACGUGUUUUGGGUGUUAUUUAAUGCCCUUAAAGCCACUAUUUAAAGUGAGUGCUCCUGACCUAAAGUAUUGUAACGUCAGAUCUCCUAACAUUGAACCCUUUUGCAAUCCCUGGUUAAGAAAGGCUUUCCUUGAUUAUGAUAGAAAAUUCCUUUGAGAUGCUAUUUAUGGAGUUCCCAUGGUGGCCCAGCGGAAAGAACCCCAACCAGUAUCCAUGAGGAUGCCAGUUCGAUCCCUGGCCUUGAUCAGUGGGUUGGGGAUCCGGCGUUGCAGUGAGCUGUGGUGUAGGUCACAGAUGCGGCUCAGAUCCAGUGUUGUUGUGGUUGUGGCACAGGCCAGUGGCUGCAGCCCCAAUUUGACCCCUGUCCUGGGAAUUUC